UUUUCAUGAUGAACAAAACUUACACCAUCUUUCGACUGUACAUUCAUUGAUGCUAUAUAAGUUUUACUGAUACGUUGU
Small nucleolar RNA from Lucilia cuprina (Australian sheep blowfly), 78 nucleotides. The record is from Rfam. NCBI's taxonomy places the organism in Eukaryota, Metazoa, Arthropoda, Insecta, Diptera, Calliphoridae.